Molecule: ribosomal RNA, 253 nt
Filed under: uncultured bacterium
Lineage: Bacteria
Description: partial 16S ribosomal RNA
Rfam family: Bacterial small subunit ribosomal RNA
Source: RNAcentral
UACGAAGGGGGCUAGCGUUGCUCGGAAUCACUGGGCGUAAAGGGCGCGUAGGCGGCUCGGUAAGGUUGCGGUGAAAGCCCGGGGCUCAACCCCGGGUCGGCCGUGGCAACUGCUGAGCUAGAGCACUGUAGAGGCAGGUGGAAUUCCGGGUGUAGCGGUGGAAUGCGUAGAGAUCCGGAAGAACACCGGUGGUGAAGGCGGCCUGCUGGGCAGUGGCUGACGCUGAUGCGCGACAGCGUGGGGAGCAAACAGG